This 21-nucleotide non-coding RNA is filed under the name Caenorhabditis elegans. Lineage: Eukaryota; Metazoa; Nematoda; Chromadorea; Rhabditida; Rhabditidae. The record is from RNAcentral.
UUCAUGUUUGGAAUCAAAGUU